RNAcentral lists this ribosomal RNA (253 nucleotides) under uncultured bacterium. RNAcentral describes it as "partial 16S ribosomal RNA". It matches the Rfam family "Bacterial small subunit ribosomal RNA", at positions 524 to 776 of the family's 1533-position model. The record is from RNAcentral.
UACAGAGGUCUCGAGCGUUGUUCGGAUUCAUUGGGCGUAAAGGGUGCGUAGGUGGCACUGUAAGUCGGGUGUGAAAUCUCGGAGCUUAACUCCGAAACUGCAUUCGAUACUGCCGUGCUUGAGGACUGGAGAGGAGACUGGAAUUUACGGUGUAGCGGUGAAAUGCGUAGAUAUCGUAAGGAAGACCAGUGGCGAAGGCGGGUCUCUGGACAGUUCCUGACGCUGAGGCACGAAGGUCAGGGGAGCAAACGGG